This 325-nucleotide ribosomal RNA is filed under the name uncultured eukaryote. RNAcentral describes it as "partial 18S ribosomal RNA". It matches the Rfam family "Eukaryotic small subunit ribosomal RNA", at positions 1470 to 1796 of the family's 1831-position model. The record is from RNAcentral.
CCCUUAGAUGUUCGGGGCCGCACGCGCGCUACACUGAAUGAAUCAGCGAGUGUAUGUCCUAGGCCGAAAGGUCCGGGUAACCCGUUGAACCUCAUUCGUGAUUGGGAUAGGGACUUGCAAUUGUUUCCCUUGAACGAGGAAUUCCCAGUAAGCGCAAGUCAUCAGCUUGCGUUGAUUACGUCCCUGCCCUUUGUACACACCGCCCGUCGCUACUACCGAUUGAGUGAUCCGGUGAAUAAUUCGGACUGCAGCAGUGUUCAGUUCCUGAACGUUGCAGCGGAAAGUUUAGUGAACCUUAUCACUUAGAGGAGGAGAAGUCGUAACA